GAUGAACGCUGGCGGCGUGCCUAAUACAUGCAAGUCGAGCGAACGGACGAGAAGCUUGCUUCUCUGAUGUUAGCGGCGGACGGGUGAGUAACACGUGGAUAACCUACCUAUAAGACUGGGAUAACUUCGGGAAACCGGAGCUAAUACCGGAUAAUAUUUUGAACCGCAUGGUUCAAAAGUGAAAGACGGUCUUGCUGUCACUUAUAGAUGGAUCCGCGCUGCAUUAGCUAGUUGGUAAGGUAACGGCUUACCAAGGCAACGAUGCAUAGCCGACCUGAGAGGGUUAUCCGGCAACAUGGAACUGAGACAAGGUUCAGACUCCUACGGGAGGCAGCAGUAGGGAAUCUUCCGCAAUGGGCGAAAGCCUGACGGAGCAACGCCGCGUGAGUGAUGAAGGUCUUCGGAUCGUAAAACUCUGUUAUUAGGGAAGAACAUAUGUGUAAGUAACUGUGCACAUCUUGACGGUACCUAAUCAGAAAGCCACGGCUAACUACGUG
This 497-nucleotide ribosomal RNA is filed under the name uncultured bacterium. RNAcentral describes it as "partial 16S ribosomal RNA". It matches the Rfam family "Bacterial small subunit ribosomal RNA", at positions 28 to 507 of the family's 1533-position model. The record is from RNAcentral.